UCCCUGGUGGCUCAGAUGGUAAAGUGUCUGCCUACUGUGCAGGAGACCUGGGUUCGAUUCUUGGAUCGGGAA
This 72-nucleotide transfer RNA is filed under the name Bos taurus (domestic cattle). It matches the Rfam family "tRNA". Rfam says of the family: Transfer RNA (tRNA) molecules are approximately 80 nucleotides in length. The record is from Rfam by way of RNAcentral. Lineage: Eukaryota; Metazoa; Chordata; Mammalia; Artiodactyla; Bovidae. RNAcentral also lists the same sequence under 3 other names.